RNAcentral lists this transfer RNA (72 nucleotides) under Bacillota bacterium. Its description in RNAcentral is "tRNA-Cys". It matches the Rfam family "tRNA". Rfam says of the family: Transfer RNA (tRNA) molecules are approximately 80 nucleotides in length. Their secondary structure includes four short double-helical elements and three loops (D, anti-codon, and T loops). Lineage: Bacteria; Bacillati; Bacillota. The record is from RNAcentral. RNAcentral also lists the same sequence under 1 other name.
GGCGCUGUAGCCAAGCGGUAAGGCAAAGGUCUGCAACACCUCUACGCAUCGGUUCAAAUCCGAUCAGCGCCU